Molecule: ribosomal RNA, 426 nt
Filed under: uncultured bacterium
Lineage: Bacteria
Description: bacterial SSU rRNA
Rfam family: Bacterial small subunit ribosomal RNA
Source: RNAcentral
GACGAACGCUGGCGGCGCGCCUAACACAUGCAAGUCGAACGGAGCUUAGAGAGCUUGCUUUUUAAGCUUAGUGGCGAACGGGUGAGUAACGCGUGAGUAACCUGCCCUAGAGUGGGGGACAACAGUUGGAAACGACUGCUAAUACCGCAUAAGCCCACGGUACCGCAUGGUACUGAGGGAAAAGGAUUUAUUCGCUUUAGGAUGGACUCGCGUCCAAUUAGCUAGUUGGUGAGGUAACGGCCCACCAAGGCGACGAUUGGUAGCCGGACUGAGAGGUUGAACGGCCACAUUGGGACUGAGACACGGCCCAGACUCCUACGGGAGGCAGCAGUGGGGGAUAUUGCACAAUGGGGGAAACCCUGAUGCAGCGACGCCGCGUGGAGGAAGAAGGUUUUCGGAUUGUAAACUCCUGUCGUUAGGGACGAU